CAGUCGCCGCGGUAAUACGUAGGUGGCAAGCGUUGUCCGGAAUUAUUGGGCGUAAAGGGCUCGCAGGCGGUUUCUUAAGUCUGAUGUGAAAGCCCCCGGCUCAACCGGGGAGGGUCAUUGGAAACUGGGAAACUUGAGUGCAGAAGAGGAGAGUGGAAUUCCACGUGUAGCGGUGAAAUGCGUAGAGAUGUGGAGGAACACCAGUGGCGAAGGCGACUCUCUGGUCUGUAACCGACGCUGAGGAGCGAAAGCGUGGGGAGCGAACAGGAUUAGAUACCCGAGUAGUCCCUGUCUCUUAUAC
RNAcentral lists this ribosomal RNA (301 nucleotides) under uncultured bacterium. RNAcentral describes it as "partial 16S ribosomal RNA". It matches the Rfam family "Bacterial small subunit ribosomal RNA", at positions 509 to 807 of the family's 1533-position model. The record is from RNAcentral.